AGAGUUUGAUCCUGGCUCAGGAUGAACGCUAGCUACAGGCUUAACACGUGCAAGUCGAGGGGAAACGACAUCGAAAGCUUGCUUUUGAUGGGCGUCGACCGGCGCACGGGUGAGUAACGCGUAUCCAACCUGCCCAUCACUUGGGGAUAACCUUGCGAAAGUAAGACUAAUACCCAAUGAUAUCUCUAGAAGGCAUCUGAAAGAGAUUAAAGACUUAUCGGUGAUGGAUGGGGAUGCGUCUGAUUAGCUUGUUGGCGGAGUAACGGCCACCAAAGCAACGAUCAGUAGGGGUUCUGAGAGGAAGGUCCCCCACAUUGGAACUGAGACACGGUCCAAACUCCUACGGGAGGCA
This 352-nucleotide ribosomal RNA is filed under the name uncultured bacterium. RNAcentral describes it as "bacterial SSU rRNA". It matches the Rfam family "Bacterial small subunit ribosomal RNA", at positions 8 to 350 of the family's 1533-position model. The record is from RNAcentral.